Molecule: unclassified non-coding RNA, 6432 nt
Filed under: Neodiprion pinetum (white pine sawfly)
Lineage: Eukaryota; Metazoa; Arthropoda; Insecta; Hymenoptera; Diprionidae
Description: uncharacterized LOC124220703, transcript variant X1
Source: RNAcentral
ACGCACGCGAAACACACCGCGCAGGAUUUGGCGCGCCGCGGUCCCACGUCGGGUGUUGAACAGACGUCGACGAGUUCGGCGUCGUCGAGGAGAGGAGAGCACAGCGCAGUGCGGUGUAUCGCUUGAUAGGGUAAUUUUGUCGCACGGAAAUCAGUGAAUCGCGGAAAGUGUCGCGAUCCGGUUUUGCGAUAUAAUUGUGCGCGAAGUCGAGAGCUAGGAAAAAUAGUGAGAUGAGGUUUGACCCUACGGCAAGAAGGGGCCCUGUGAUUAAUCCGACGGAAUAAGAGCCACCGACACCGUCGCCGACGGUAGAAUGAACUCUUGAACCGGUUCAUUGGAAUCCAGAAAAGAACGGAAGAGGGACUCGGGACCGAAGACAACAUGUCACGUGUCGAAACUCGCGUCGCGCGGACGGCGAUUAUCGCGGCCACUUUCAUCUGGGCCUACUCAAUGGGCAGCGAAUUUCCAGAGAGAGAAUGCUGCGAUCCAGUUUACCCGAUACCCGAACCAACCAGCAGGGCACCGUCGGCCCCAACACCGACCGGAAGAAGCGGACCGAACAUUAAGACGGCUGUGGCGAUUUUGAACUGCCUUCUGGCGCGGCAGCUGUGCUUCGAGGAUCCAUCCUGCAGCGCCAUUUUGGAAAUCAUACCGAGGGUCUGCGGUCCGGAAUUGGUUGCCUGUUCGACGGUGACUGUCCCGAAGUGUCAAGCGGCUUUGGUGACUCUGCAAGCCUUUCCAUUCUUCAAACCGACAUGCCUGUGUCGAGAGCCGCACGUCGAUCCGGAAUGCAACAGCUUUAGGGACUUCCUGUUCGAUCAUCCGUGCGUUUACGUUCUUAAAAAAGAUCCGCUUCCGGUGGAGCCACUUCCGACAUGCAACCACGCGUUGAGCGUCUGUCAGCGAGGCAAGACCUGCGUCAAGCUCUUCGACGACUUCAAGACGAACUGCAAAGCCAGGGACGGUAAAUGCAGAAUGGAAAGUAGGGAAACCUGCCAUGAUGCAUGGACACAUCUGCGGCUAUCUCCGAUGUUUGGAUGUAUCUGCCCCAACAAUCACAUGAAACGUAGAUGCGACAAGAUCUUCUCGAUAGUGAACCACAACCCGUGCGUCGAGUUUCUGCCCUCCGCGACCAUUGACUUAUCGGGGACCGACUCCGCGCUCUAUCCGUUCGACCCCCACCAGGAGAACUUUCAAGAGUUCUGGUUCCCCCCGACCAGUAUGUACCCAUAUUUUCUCUUCCCCGCCACCGCAACCACGCGAACAUUCAAUGAGAUCGAGGCCCGGUACCGCUACCACGAGGUGCCGCCGCCCAAGGCUCCCGAGGUCCCUAAGCAGCGUCACGGGAACCUAGGCCAUCACGCGCCUGGUACGAUCCUUGACCACUAUCAACACCACAACAACCAUGGUCUCGAUCUCGACCCAGAUCCUGGCCCACGCCCCAAUCCAGAUCCCGAAUAUCCUCGACGCCGACCCACCUUGGACGAGCACAAUUCUGACGACCUAACCUCCACCGGGGGACGAACACCAUUCUCUGAGCAUGACUACGCUUCGAGCACCGUCACCAUCUCUGAGCAUCAACAAAAGCACCUUUCCAAAGACCGGCAUGAGCAGAAUCGCAAUCGCAAUGUCUAUCCGCACGAAAACAAUCGGCACAGCCUAGCACCGUCAUCACCGAACUCCCCUUCAGCUGACUCAUCCUCUUCCUCCUCCUCUAAUCACUCGAAUUCCGAGAUACAAUUCCGUCAUCACAACCCUAACCAGCACCAGCACCAUAAUCACCGCAAUAGUCACGCACCAUCACCGGCACCGGCACCGGCACCAGCACCAGCACCAGCACCGGGUCACCAACACCACCAGCACCACCAUCAUCAUCACGAUCACGAUCAGCACUACCAUGGAAAGAAAUUUGCACCCAGACCGACUUAUGAGCAUCGGAGUGUCGUUGACGAGAUGAUCGACCUUGACGACAACGAGCUACGGCUCGGCGGCAGACAGCCCAUUGACCGGCUAUUCGGUCUCAGCGAAGCCUUCGAAGGGUUCGUCGACAAAGUGAAGGUCAUUUCACAUCCCGACAACUCAACGAGCUUUGAGGUAAUUGAGUCUCAGCUGGAGAAUCCCCUUAUCGAUGCUGAUCAUCGCGACCUCCAUGCCCUUAAGCAGAUACCGAUACCAGACGUACCCAGGCGGAAGAUUCAUCACGGAAAAAAUCAUUCGAAGAGCGAGCAAAACUCGAAAGGAGGUAAGCCAGCGGUCGCACUGUCCUCAGGAUCUAAGGCGAAAGGUCAUCGGGUCGUGCAUCGUCCUGCAGCGGCGGUAACCUUGUCUAGCACCUGCCACCAAGCCUACACUUCUUGCAGCAAUGACCCAGACUGUAAGACGGCGUUGCAGCCAGUCCUGAACCACUGCGACCUCGGAAACUGCGCUAGGAACGCCUGCAUGGAUGCUCUUCAACAGUUUUAUCGAACAGCGAGUGAAGCGCACACCAUGGAGAUCGCAUUUUGUUUGUGCAGGAAAACCAACAACAAACGGGACGACUGCAUCAUUGCUCAAGAAAAAAUGCACCCCGCAUGCGCCCAGCGAGUCGAGGGGGUUGAAAUGCCCACUUGUCACAGCCUCGCCGAAGUCUGCAGGGAAGACAAAGCAUGCAGGAAGAGGCUCGAGUACUACGAACAGAGUUGUGCGGUCGACAGUGUGACGAAAAAGUGCGCCGGGGUAACGAAAGAGUGUCGUCGAGCAAUGAUCGGGAUCCUAGGCACGGAGCUGCGUUCAAACUGUGCUUGCAAAGGGACAGACCUAGCACAAGUCUCCGACUGCCUCGGCUGGCAGCGACUGCUCUGGGUUAAUCCGUGCGUGGUUGAGUCGCAGAAGGACUUUCACGCGCGAAGAAAAGCCCAUCGUCAACGUACAACAACGGUUCUAACCCUAACAACGGAAGUGGAGGAAAAUUCGAGUGAUCUGGCUGAGUCGCACUCGGUCGAGCCAAUUUCGAAGGUCACACAGGUUGCCGAUUCCUGGGACUCAACCACCACUGUCUCGACGACGUCGACUACCACCACCACUACAACCACCACUACUACCGUGCCCCCGAGAUUCUGCAUCGUGCAAAGGCCCAGACAGACGCAUCAGUACAUCAGGGAAGGCCGAGGGAAGAGGCUCUACAGAGAGGACGAACCCGAGUGUUCGGAACUUUGCCAGUGCAGCGAGGGCGAGGUGCUUAUCUGCAACACCAUCUGCGUCGAGUCUUCACCCUGUAAAACCGACUUUGCAUUCUACAACCACGCUGCUCCCGCUUACCAGGCGUACCGCGGUCGCUGUCUCUGUUACAGUGGACGCUUCAUCUGCAUGCGGCCAUUCCCAGACGCGUACAGCAUCCCCCACGGCAUCUUCAUGUUUCUCGGGUAUAGCGAAGCUGAUGAAAAUCUGCUCAAGCAACACAGCAAUCUCACAAUUCUCGACGCUGUUUCAUCGCUGGACAGCUUCGUGCAACAAGAAAUUGACAACCAGACUGUCUGCACACUGCUUCUGUACAACGUGACUAAAGAAAAUGUCAUCGCCAUUGCUCAAAUAAAGUCGGACACAACUCUUACGGGUAACACGAGUCACCUGUCUCGAAGUCAGGCCGAGCUUCAAACCCAGGUACAAACAUUGCAGCAGUUGAAGCGGGUAAAGGAUGAGUGCGCAGAAAUGCUUCGCGAUUUGAGUGAAAAGAUCAACAACAAACAUCACGAGAUCUACACGCAUCCGCUUUUGUCAAUAUUCAAAAUGGCGGAAGUCGAAGUCAGGCUUCCACAAACAAACAGAGGCAGUCCGUCGCGAUUCGUGAAAGAUCCGCUUCAGCGGUUACUCUUGACGUUGCUACUCGUCACAACGAGUUACCUCGUGACUAGAAGACCCGGCAUCUGUAUUCCAACUGUAACGCCAUCAGCGUUCGUCAAAACGAUGCGCCAAGGCUCGUGACAGAGCAUAACUCGCGAUAUUGUAGAAUUAUCACCACAACAGAGACUCACGUAGUGAGGAAGGGUGUAUAAUAGCGUUGAGCCAGCCGAACGAACUGAAAACGAGAUGGUGGAACACCUCGCACGCCCUUGAUCGUCGAUACUUGAACUGAUGCCUGACCUAAAACUAUAAUUCAAGUAUCGAAGAUCCAUCGAGAGCUUAUAAAAUAACGAUCGAUAAUUAUGUGGCAUAAUAAGUGCGUGCGAAGCGCGGCCAAGACUCCGCACAACAAAGCAAUAAUGUAUAGAGAGAAAAAUGAGAGCGAGGGAGAACAAUAUAGAAAAGAGCGAAAACGAGAUAUCUGAGAGCGUGAGAGUGAGAGGGGAAAAUUUUUACUGAAAAGAGAUGACAAAGAAAAAAAAAGAAAGGUUGAUUUAAGAUUUAAGUUUAUCUUGUACUAAAUCACGUACCUAACGUUAUAAGUUUAAGGCAAUUCCAUUCUACGUAUAACAAUGCCAGACGCGGAAAUCAUUAGAUUGUGUCUCCACUGCGGUAUAAGUGAUCGUGUAACGAAAUCGAAAUGGACCCGCAAUUCCAUAUAACUAUAGAUAUCGUCGAGUUUCAUAAAUAUCAGAUUUGAGAUUUGAAUUAAAUUCGCCUGUACCGGUAUUUGGCGAGACUUCAUUAUGCAAGUUAUUUAUUGCUCGGUUUUUGAAGUACGUACCUAUACCGUUAUAACUUUCCACCACGUCGCGGCUAAGGGCAACCUAAUAGCUGUUUAAGCAUUAAGGCUUAUUUGUUCGUCCCACGAAGUCGCAAUAAAGUACGGUAAAGUUGGUUUCAAUAAAGCUAAGAGCCGCAGGGCCCAAUUUCGCUCCUUUCAAACGUUGAACUAUAGUUCAUUUCCGAAUGUUUACCAGUUUGCAGAUACAUUCCUUACGUAUUUUUCAUUUCUCAACUCCUCAUUGUAGUGAGUAAAAAAUUUAUCAAACCUCGUUAUGAGAUUUUAUUUCAAAAAUUGUAUAAUUUCAUGAAGCCGGGAUACCUACCCCCGGUAUCUCUUAAAUCAGUUGAUACACAAGGGGCGCCGGAGACAAAUUAAAAAUGAGCGUUAAUUUCCCCCGCGCUGUUUGAACAUAUCAAGACCCGGCGUGACCGGGUCAGCCAAUAUUUUUAUUACCAUAUACUAUACUUGUUCGCCGGUUGAGAGAAUGUACCCGCGUACGUCCGUAUAACUGCAGGUCAAAAAGGUAACUCGGAAAGAGUUACGAGAAACGGGCCGUAGACAAGCGACGUAUUGCGACACGGCAACCGGCAAGGGUCAAAAAUCGAUCGUUUUCGGUACUCUACGGUGCCUCACGUAUACUUCCAUAUUGAACUACAAAUAUAAGUAUGUACGUGUAUAUUAUACAUACACAUAUAUACAUGUAUUAUGUAAGAGGUUAUAUUGUACAUAAAAAAUACAUGUAUACCCUAAUGUACAUAGAUUAAGACACUUACCGAUCGAGGCUGCAAUUAAAUCCAUGGAAUUUGUUUUAUUGGCCGUCGGUCACUCUAUUUUAUCAGCACAUGGUACACUUACCCACAUGGUCAGAUCGAUUUCAUGAAAUCUACAUUGUCGACCGUCGGUUCAGCGAUUCGAUUAAUGAUAAAAUAAUAUACGCGGUGAACCGAAUAGAUUUUUUUUCUCCGUCACUCGGACCAAUUCUUCAUUCAAAUAUGAAGCAGGUAGGGUAAAAAAAAAUUACCUGAAUAAUGAAAGGGAAAAUGUACCAAUAUCCCAACCAAUGUAUACUCGACUCUAGCAAGUCCGCUGAUUGACUGUGAAUGCGUUAUCGUUCUUCUCGCGAUGUUUCACAUGCGGCAACACACACGUGCGCACGUUACCUCACCUGGAAUAAAUGCGAGGAACUGACAUACGCCACGGAUGUGUCGGUGCUGCGUACCAGGGUGAAAAUGUUGUAUGACACCAUUUCCUCCCUCGAAUUGCGUUUGCGUGGUUCGUUCAAUACUUAAUAAGCGCUAUUCCGACCGGGCUAACACGAUACAACACACAACGUGCGCACGUGCAUGCGUGCAUGCGUGACAUAUCUAUAGCUAGUGGGUACUCAAAGUCGAGCGCAACGUAAAGUAAACUUUGCGCAAAUUAUGCAAACAAAUGAUUUUGGUACACGUGUACGCGAAACGCGACGACCGUAAACAACGAUAACGUUACACAAUGCAUACGUCAACGAAAUAAUCUAUGCCCAACUUUGAUGAAACAGAAACGGAAUACGUAUACCGUGGCGUGUACUACAUAUUGCAAUAAUUGAACAUAUUAUAAAAAGUCUGUACGAAAAAAUUAAGAUAAAGAAAAGGGAAACGAAACCUGUUGUCUAGGAAUAAGCUGUCAUGUACAUUGUGCACUAUACAUUAGGUUGUAAGUAUUAUAAAUUGAAUACAAUGCGAAAGUUGUAGCGCGUUGUUUAAUAAAGAAAUAAUGUCUACGAACUA